RNAcentral lists this ribosomal RNA (803 nucleotides) under uncultured organism. Its description in RNAcentral is "SSU rRNA". It matches the Rfam family "Bacterial small subunit ribosomal RNA", at positions 674 to 1477 of the family's 1533-position model. The record is from RNAcentral.
UGUAGCGGUGAAAUGCGUAGAGAUCUGGAGGAAUACCGGUGGCGAAGGCGGCCCCCUGGACGAAGACUGACGCUCAGGUGCGAAAGCGUGGGGAGCAAACAGGAUUAGAUACCAUGGUAGUCCACGCCGUAAACGAUGUCGACUUGGAGGUUGUGCCCUUGAGGCGUGGCUUCCGGAGCUAACGCGUUAAGUCGACCGCCUGGGGAGUACGGCCGCAAGGUUAAAACUCAAAUGAAUUGACGGGGGCCCGCACAAGCGGUGGAGCAUGUGGUUUAAUUCGAUGCAACGCGAAGAACUUUACCUGGUCUUGACAUCCACGGAAGUUUUCAGAGAUGAGAAUGUGCCUUCGGGAACCGUGAGACAGGUGCUGCAUGGCUGUCGUCAGCUCGUGUUGUGAAAUGUUGGGUUAAGUCCCGCAACGAGCGCAACCCUUAUCCUUUGUUGCCAGCGGUCCGGCCGGGAACUCAAAGGAGACUGCCAGUGAUAAACUGGAGGAAGGUGGGGAUGACGUCAAGUCAUCAUGGCCCUUAUGACCAGGGCUACACACGUGCUACAAUGGCGCAUACAAAGAGAAGCGACCUCGCGAGAGCAAGCGGACCUCAUAAAGUGCGUCGUAGUCCGGAUUGGAGUCUGCAACUGGACUCCAUGAAGUCGGAAUCGUUAGUAAUCGUGGAUCAGAAUGCCACGGUGAAUACGUUCCCGGGCCUUGUACACACCGCCCGUCACACCAUGGGAGUGGGUUGCAAAAGAAGUAGGUAGCUUAACCUUCGGGAGGGCGCUUACCACUUUGUGAUUCAUGACUG